GGGUGACUGCGUACCUUUUGUAUAAUGGGUCAGCGACUUAUAUUCUGUAGCAAGGUUAACCGAAUAGGGGAGCCGUAGGGAAACCGAGUCUUAACUGGGCGAAUGAGUUGCAGGGUAUAGACCCGAAACCCGGUGAUCUAGCCAUGGGCAGGUUGAAGGUUGGGUAACACUAACUGGAGGACCGAACCGACUAAUGUUGAAAAAUUAGCGGAUGACUUGUGGCUGGGGGUGAAAGGCCAAUCAAACCGGGAGAUAGCUGGUUCUCCCCGAAAGCUAUUUAGGUAGCGCCUCGUGAACUCAUCUUCGGGGGUAGAGCACUGUUUCGGCUAGGGGGUCAUCCCGACUUACCAACCCGAUGCAAACUACGAAUACCGAAGAAUGUUAUCACGGGAGACACACGGCGGGUGCUAACGUUCGUCGUGAAGAGGGAAACAACCCAGACCGCCAGCUAAGGUCCCAAAGUCAUGGUUAAGUGGGAAACGAAGUGGGAAGGCUCAGACAGCCAGGAUGUUGGCUUAGAAGCAGCCAUCAUUUAAAGAAAGCGUAAUAGCUCACUGGUCGAGUCGGCCUGCGCGGAAGAUGUAACGGGGCUAAACCAUGCACCGAAGCUGCGGCAGCGACAUGUAAAUGUUGUUGGGUAGGGGAGCGUUCUGUAAGCCUGUGAAGGUGUGCUGCGAGGCAUGCUGGAGGUAUCAGAAGUGCGAAUGCUGACAUAAGUAACGAUAAUGCGGGUGAAAAACCCGCACGCCGGAAGACCAAGGGUUCCUGUCCAACGUUAAUCGGGGCAGGGUGAGUCGACCCCUAAGGCGAGGCAGAAAUGCGUAGUCGAUGGGAAACAGGUUAAUAUUCCUGUACUGGUGAUAAUUGCGAUGGGGGGACGGAGAAGGCUAGGCUGGCCGGGCGACGGUUGUCCCGGUUUAAGGAUGUAGGUGGGCGAAUUAGGCAAAUCCGGUUCACUGUACACUGAGGUCUGAUGACGAGUCACUACGGUGGCGAAGUAGCUCAUGCCCCGCUUCCAGGAAAAGCCUCUAAGCUCUAGAUUAUCAUUAAUCGUACCCCAAACCGACACAGGUGGUCAGGUAGAGAAUACUCAGGCGCUUGAGAGAACUCGGGUGAAGGAACUAGGCAAAAUGGUGCCGUAACUUCGGGAGAAGGCACGCUGGCAUUAGGUGAAGUGGUUUACCCAUGGAGCUGAAGCCAGUCGCAGAUACCAGCUGGCUGCAACUGUUUAUUAAAAACACAGCACUGUGCAAACACGAAAGUGGACGUAUACGGUGUGACGCCUGCCCGGUGCUGGAAGGUUAAUUGAUGGGGUUAUCCGUAAGGAGAAGCUCUUGAUCGAAGCCCCAGUAAACGGCGGCCGUAACUAUAACGGUCCUAAGGUAGCGAAAUUCCUUGUCGGGUAAGUUCCGACCUGCACGAAUGGCGUAAUGAUGGCCAGGCUGUCUCCACCCGAGACUCAGUGAAAUUGAACUCGCUGUGAAGAUGCAGUGUACCCGCGGCAAGACGGAAAGACCCCGUGAACCUUUACUAUAGCUUGACACUGAACAUUGAGCCUUGAUGUGUAGGAUAGGUGGGAGGCUUUGAAGUGUGGACGCCAGUCUGCAUGGAGCCAACCUUGAAAUACCACCCUUUAAUGUUUGAUGUUCUAACGUUGCCCCGUGAUCCGGGGUGCGGACAGUGUCUGGUGGGUAGUUUGACUGGGGCGGUCUCCUCCCAAAGCGUAACGGAGGAGCACGAAGGUUGGCUAAGCAUGGUCGGACAUCAUGCGGUUAGUGCAAAGGCAUAAGCCAGCUUGACUGCGAGAGUGACGGCUCGAGCAGGUACGAAAGUAGGUCUUAGUGAUCCGGUGGUUCUGAAUGGAAGGGCCAUCGCUCAACGGAUAAAAGGUACUCCGGGGAUAACAGGCUGAUACCGCCCAAGAGUUCAUAUCGACGGCGGUGUUUGGCACCUCGAUGUCGGCUCAUCACAUCCUGGGGCUGAAGUAGGUCCCAAGGGUAUGGCUGUUCGCCAUUUAAAGUGGUACGCGAGCUGGGUUUAGAACGUCGUGAGACAGUUCGGUCCCUAUCUGCCGUGGGCGUUGGAAGAUUGAAAGGGGCUGCUCCUAGUACGAGAGGACCGGAGUGGACGCACCGCUGGUGUUCGGGUUGUCAUGCCAAUGGCACUGCCCGGUAGCUAAGUGCGGAAGAGAUAACCGCUGAAAGCAUCUAAGCGGGAAACUUGCCUUGAGAUGAGUCUUCCCUGACUCUUUAAGGGUCCUAAAGGAACGUUUAAGACGAAGACGUUGAUAGGCUGGGUGUGUAAGCGUAGCGAUACGUUGAGCUAACCAGUACUAAUGAACCGUGAGGCUUAACCUG
This 2357-nucleotide ribosomal RNA is filed under the name Providencia stuartii. Its description in RNAcentral is "partial 23S ribosomal RNA". It matches the Rfam family "Bacterial large subunit ribosomal RNA", at positions 591 to 2925 of the family's 2925-position model. The record is from RNAcentral. Lineage: Bacteria; Pseudomonadati; Pseudomonadota; Gammaproteobacteria; Enterobacterales; Morganellaceae.